UCUAGCGACAAUAGCGUUGUGGAACCACCUGAUCCCAUGCCGAACUCAGAAGUGAAACGCAAUAGCGCCGAUGGUAGUGUGGGAGUUCCCAUGUGAGAGUAGGUCAUCGCUAGGC
Molecule: ribosomal RNA, 115 nt
Filed under: Thalassotalea sp. PS06
Lineage: Bacteria; Pseudomonadati; Pseudomonadota; Gammaproteobacteria; Alteromonadales; Colwelliaceae
Source: RNAcentral